AGCCUAAAGGCGCAAUGAAAGUGAAGGUCGAUCUUAGCGUCGACCGAGGGAGGAUGGCUCGCGUCACGAUGCGAGCCCGCACUCCCGGGGCGUCUCGUGCUCAUUGCGAGCAGAGGCGCACCCAGAGCGUACACGUUGGGACCCGAAAGAUGGUGAACUAUGCCUGGUCAGGACGAAGUCAGGGGAAACCCUGAUGGAGGUCCGUAGCGAUUCUGACGUGCAAAUCGAUCGUCGGAACUGGGUAUAGGGGCGAAAGACUAAUCGAA
RNAcentral lists this ribosomal RNA (266 nucleotides) under Cirrospilus margiscutellum. RNAcentral describes it as "partial large subunit ribosomal RNA". It matches the Rfam family "Eukaryotic large subunit ribosomal RNA", at positions 705 to 939 of the family's 3401-position model. Lineage: Eukaryota; Metazoa; Arthropoda; Insecta; Hymenoptera; Eulophidae. The record is from RNAcentral.